This 301-nucleotide ribosomal RNA is filed under the name uncultured bacterium. RNAcentral's name for it is "partial 16S ribosomal RNA". It matches the Rfam family "Bacterial small subunit ribosomal RNA", at positions 509 to 807 of the family's 1533-position model. The record is from RNAcentral.
CAGUAGCCGCGGGAAUACGUAGGGUGCGAGCGUUAAUCGGAAUUACUGGGCGUAAAGCGUGCGCAGGCGGUUCGUUAAGACAGAUGUGAAAUCCCCGGGCUUAACCUGGGAACUGCAUUUGUGACUGGCGAGCUAGGGUAUGGCAGAGGGGGGUAGAAUUCCACGUGUAGCAGUGAAAUGCGUAGAGAUGUGGAGGAAUACCGAUGGCGAAGGCAGCCCCCUGGGCCAAUACUGACGCUCAUGCACGAAAGCGUGGGGAGCAAACAGGAUUAGAUACCCGAGUAGUCCCUGUCUCUUAUAC